UAGUAGCCAAGCGGUAAGGCAACUGGCUCUGAACCAGUUAUACGUUGGUUCGAAUCCAACCU
Molecule: transfer RNA, 62 nt
Filed under: bovine gut metagenome
Rfam family: tRNA
About the family: Transfer RNA (tRNA) molecules are approximately 80 nucleotides in length. Their secondary structure includes four short double-helical elements and three loops (D, anti-codon, and T loops). Further hydrogen bonds mediate the characteristic L-shaped molecular structure. tRNAs have two regions of fundamental functional importance: the anti-codon, which is responsible for specific mRNA codon recognition, and the 3' end, to which the tRNAs corresponding amino acid is attached (by aminoacyl-tRNA synthetases). tRNAs cope with the degeneracy of the genetic code in two manners: having more than one tRNA (with a specific anti-codon) for a particular amino acid; and 'wobble' base-pairing, i.e. permitting non-standard base-pairing at the 3rd anti-codon position.
Source: RNAcentral